GACGAACGCUGGCGGCGCGCCUAACACAUGCAAGUCGAACGAGCGAGAGGAGGUUUACUUUCUCAAGCGAGUGGCGAACGGGUGAGUAACGCGUGAGGAACCUGCCUCAAAGAGGGGGACAACAGUUGGAAACGACUGCUAAUACCGCAUAAGCCCACGACCCGGCAUCGGGUAGAGGGAAAAGGAGCAAUCCGCUUUGAGAUGGCCUCGCGUCCGAUUAGCUAGUUGGUGGGGUAAUGGCCCACCAAGGCGACGAUCGGUAGCCGGACUGAGAGGUUGAACGGCCACAUUGGGACUGAGACACGGCCCAGACUCCUACGGGAGGCAGCAGUGGGGAAUAUUGCACAAUGGGGGAAACCCUGAUGCAGCGACGCCGCGUGGAGGAAGAAGGUCUUCGGAUUGUAAACUCCUGUUGUUGAGGAAGAUAAUGACGGUACUCAACAAGGAAGUGACGGCUAACUACGUG
This 466-nucleotide ribosomal RNA is filed under the name uncultured bacterium. Its description in RNAcentral is "partial 16S ribosomal RNA". It matches the Rfam family "Bacterial small subunit ribosomal RNA", at positions 28 to 507 of the family's 1533-position model. The record is from RNAcentral.